This 253-nucleotide ribosomal RNA is filed under the name uncultured bacterium. RNAcentral's name for it is "partial 16S ribosomal RNA". It matches the Rfam family "Bacterial small subunit ribosomal RNA", at positions 524 to 776 of the family's 1533-position model. The record is from RNAcentral.
UACGUAGGGUGCGAGCGUUGUCCGGAAUUACUGGGCGUAAAGGGCUUGUAGGUGGUUUGUCGCGUUGUUCGUGAAAACUCACAGCUUAACUGUGGGCGUGCGGGCGAUACGGGCAGACUGGAGUACUGCAGGGGAGACUGGAAUUCCUGGUGUAGCGGUGAAAUGCGCAGAUAUCAGGAGGAACACCAGCGGCGAAGGCGGCGCUCUGGGCCGGUACUGACGCUGAGGAGCGAAAGCGUGGGUAGCAAACAGG